GGUCCAUGUUAUAGGCAUUGUGUAGUAUACUCUUGUAUUGUUCCCAUGCUUCUGAGUAGCAUUAUGAGUCUAGUUGUUGGAAGGUGGUAAUCUCAUCCCUUAGCUU
RNAcentral lists this small nucleolar RNA (106 nucleotides) under Olea europaea subsp. europaea. RNAcentral's name for it is "Plant small nucleolar RNA R71". It matches the Rfam family "Plant small nucleolar RNA R71". From Rfam's summary of the family: R71 is a member of the C/D box family of snoRNAs containing the C (UGAUGA) and D (CUGA) box motifs. Multiple nearly identical copies of this snoRNA have been identified in Arabidopsis, and it is thought to function as a 2'-O-ribose methylation guide for 18S ribosomal RNA. Lineage: Eukaryota; Viridiplantae; Streptophyta; Magnoliopsida; Lamiales; Oleaceae. The record is from Rfam by way of RNAcentral.